GACGAACGCUGGCGGCGUGCUUAACACAUGCAAGUCGAACGGAAAGGCCCUGCUUUUGUGGGGUGCUCGAGUGGCGAACGGGUGAGUAACACGUGCGUAACCUGCCCUUGACUUUGGGAUAACUUCAGGAAACUGGGGCUAAUACCGGAUAGGAGCUCCUGCUGCAUGGUGGGGGUUGGAAAGUUUCGGCGGUUGGGGAUGGACUCGCGGCUUAUCAGCUUGUUGGUGGGGUAGUGGCUUACCAAGGCUUUUACGGGUAGCCGGCCUGAGGGGGUGACCGGCCACAUUGGGACUGAGAUACGGCCCAGACUCCUACGGGAGGCAGCAGUGGGGAAUAUUGCACAAUGGGCGGAAGCCUGAUGCAGCAACGCCGCGUGCGGGAUUACGGCCUUCGGGUUGUAAACCGCUUUCGCCUGUGACGAAGCGUGAGUGACGGUAAUGGGUAAAGAAGCACCGGCUAACUACGUG
Molecule: ribosomal RNA, 468 nt
Filed under: uncultured bacterium
Lineage: Bacteria
Description: partial 16S ribosomal RNA
Rfam family: Bacterial small subunit ribosomal RNA
Source: RNAcentral